Molecule: ribosomal RNA, 158 nt
Filed under: uncultured bacterium
Lineage: Bacteria
Description: partial 16S ribosomal RNA
Rfam family: Bacterial small subunit ribosomal RNA
Source: RNAcentral
UGAGGAAUAUUGGUCAAUGGGCGAGAGCCUGAACCAGCCAAGUCGCGUGAGGGAUGACGGCCCUACGGGUUGUAAACCUCUUUUGCCGGGGAGCAAUGCUCCGCACGAGUGCGGAGCGGGAGAGUACCCGGAGAAAAAGCAUCGGCUAACUCCGUGCC